UUAAGCGACUAAGCGUACACGGUGGAUGCCCUGGCAGUCAGAGGCGAUGAAGGACGUGCUAAUCUGCGAUAAGCGUCGGUGAGGUGAUAUGAACCGUUAUAACCGGCGAUUUCCGAAUGGGGAAACCCAGUGUGUUUCGACACACUAUCAUUAACUGAAUCCAUAGGUUAAUGAGGCGAACCGGGGGAACUGAAACAUCUAAGUACCCCGAGGAAAAGAAAUCAACCGAGAUUCCCCCAGUAGCGGCGAGCGAACGGGGAGGAGCCCAGAGCCUGAAUCAGUGUGUGUGUUAGUGGAAGCGUCUGGAAAGGCGCGCGAUACAGGGUGACAGCCCCGUACACAAAAAUGCACAUAUUGUGAGCUCGAUGAGUAGGGCGGGACACGUGGUAUCCUGUCUGAAUAUGGGGGGACCAUCCUCCAAGGCUAAAUACUCCUGACUGACCGAUAGUGAACCAGUACCGUGAGGGAAAGGCGAAAAGAACCCCGGCGAGGGGAGUGAAAAAGAACCUGAAACCGUGUACGUACAAGCAGUGGGAGCCUCUUAAUGGGGUGACUGCGUACCUUUUGUAUAAUGGGUCAGCGACUUAUAUUCUGUAGCAAGGUUAACCGAAUAGGGGAGCCGAAGGGAAACCGAGUCUUAACUGGGCGUUAAGUUGCAGGGUAUAGACCCGAAACCCGGUGAUCUAGCCAUGGGCAGGUUGAAGGUUGGGUAACACUAACUGGAGGACCGAACCGACUAAUGUUGAAAAAUUAGCGGAUGACUUGUGGCUGGGGGUGAAAGGCCAAUCAAACCGGGAGAUAGCUGGUUCUCCCCGAAAGCUAUUUAGGUAGCGCCUCGUGAAUUCAUCUCCGGGGGUAGAGCACUGUUUCGGCAAGGGGGUCAUCCCGACUUACCAACCCGAUGCAAACUGCGAAUACCGGAGAAUGUUAUCACGGGAGACACACGGCGGGUGCUAACGUCCGUCGUGAAGAGGGAAACAACCCAGACCGCCAGCUAAGGUCCCAAAGUCAUGGUUAAGUGGGAAACGAUGUGGGAAGGCCCAGACAGCCAGGAUGUUGGCUUAGAAGCAGCCAUCAUUUAAAGAAAGCGUAAUAGCUCACUGGUCGAGUCGGCCUGCGCGGAAGAUGUAACGGGGCUAAACCAUGCACCGAAGCUGCGGCAGCGACACUAUGUGUUGUUGGGUAGGGGAGCGUUCUGUAAGCCUGUGAAGGUGUACUGUGAGGUUUGCUGGAGGUAUCAGAAGUGCGAAUGCUGACAUAAGUAACGAUAAAGCGGGUGAAAAGCCCGCUCGCCGGAAGACCAAGGGUUCCUGUCCAACGUUAAUCGGGGCAGGGUGAGUCGACCCCUAAGGCGAGGCCGAAAGGCGUAGUCGAUGGGAAACAGGUUAAUAUUCCUGUACUUGGUGUUACUGCGAAGGGGGGACGGAGAAGGCUAUGUUGGCCGGGCGACGGUUGUCCCGGUUUAAGCGUGUAGGCUGGUUUUCCAGGCAAAUCCGGAAAAUCAAGGCUGAGGCGUGAUGACGAGGCACUACGGUGCUGAAGCGACAAAUGCCCUGCUUCCAGGAAAAGCCUCUAAGCAUCAGGUAACAUCAAAUCGUACCCCAAACCGACACAGGUGGUCAGGUAGAGAAUACCAAGGCGCUUGAGAGAACUCGGGUGAAGGAACUAGGCAAAAUGGUGCCGUAACUUCGGGAGAAGGCACGCUGAUAUGUAGGUGAAGCGACUUGCUCGUGGAGCUGAAAUCAGUCGAAGAUACCAGCUGGCUGCAACUGUUUAUUAAAAACACAGCACUGUGCAAACACGAAAGUGGACGUAUACGGUGUGACGCCUGCCCGGUGCCGGAAGGUUAAUUGAUGGGGUUAGCGGUAACGCGAAGCUCUUGAUCGAAGCCCCGGUAAACGGCGGCCGUAACUAUAACGGUCCUAAGGUAGCGAAAUUCCUUGUCGGGUAAGUUCCGACCUGCACGAAUGGCGUAAUGAUGGCCAGGCUGUCUCCACCCGAGACUCAGUGAAAUUGAACUCGCUGUGAAGAUGCAGUGUACCCGCGGCAAGACGGAAAGACCCCGUGAACCUUUACUAUAGCUUGACACUGAACAUUGAGCCUUGAUGUGUAGGAUAGGUGGGAGGCUUUGAAGUGUGGACGCCAGUCUGCAUGGAGCCGACCUUGAAAUACCACCCUUUAAUGUUUGAUGUUCUAACGUGGGCCCCUUACCGGGGUUGCGGACAGUGUCUGGUGGGUAGUUUGACUGGGGCGGUCUCCUCCUAAAGAGUAACGGAGGAGCACGAAGGUUGGCUAAUCCUGGUCGGACAUCAGGAGGUUAGUGCAAUGGCAUAAGCCAGCUUGACUGCGAGCGUGACGGCGCGAGCAGGUGCGAAAGCAGGUCAUAGUGAUCCGGUGGUUCUGAAUGGAAGGGCCAUCGCUCAACGGAUAAAAGGUACUCCGGGGAUAACAGGCUGAUACCGCCCAAGAGUUCAUAUCGACGGCGGUGUUUGGCACCUCGAUGUCGGCUCAUCACAUCCUGGGGCUGAAGUAGGUCCCAAGGGUAUGGCUGUUCGCCAUUUAAAGUGGUACGCGAGCUGGGUUUAGAACGUCGUGAGACAGUUCGGUCCCUAUCUGCCGUGGGCGCUGGAGAACUGAGGGGGGCUGCUCCUAGUACGAGAGGACCGGAGUGGACGCAUCACUGGUGUUCGGGUUGUCAUGCCAAUGGCACUGCCCGGUAGCUAAAUGCGGAAGAGAUAAGUGCUGAAAGCAUCUAAGCACGAAACUUGCCCCGAGAUGAGUUCUCCCUGACUCCUUGAGAGUCCUGAAGGAACGUUGAAGACGACGACGUUGAUAGGCCGGGUGUGUAAGCGCAGCGAUGCGUUGAGCUAACCGGUACUAAUGAACCGUGAGGCUUAACCUU
Molecule: ribosomal RNA, 2902 nt
Filed under: Escherichia coli
Lineage: Bacteria; Pseudomonadati; Pseudomonadota; Gammaproteobacteria; Enterobacterales; Enterobacteriaceae
Description: bacterial LSU rRNA
Rfam family: Bacterial large subunit ribosomal RNA
Source: RNAcentral